CGAAGAUAUAAGAGUUAAAUGUGAACAUAUUUGUCCGUAAACAAAGUAGCAUUUUUCUUUCAUAUUAAAUAUUAAUUAAAAAUCAUUAUAAGUCACUAUAAGUAACAAAAACAAGGAUAUGAGUACUGUUUGGAAAACUGCAACUGAUCAACUUGAAAGUUUUUGAGAAUUAAGAAAUAGCAAUAAUGUUAAUAGUGUUUCUUUACCAAAAGAAAGUAUCGUGCAUAUUCAUAACAUGUUCAACGUGAAUUACUCUGAUCAUUGCGAAAGCUAUUUGCACUUUGUAACUAAAUAUUUGCUACUGUUUCUUCAAGGACGAUAUGCGCUAUUGAUCUUUCAAAUAUAGAAUUAGCAAGCAAUGUUAUAUUUUGUCAUCACAUACGGACACAUUUAAAUUGCGCAUUUAAAAGGUAUCUUGUUAAAACUCCUGGACGUUGCUUUUGAACAUAGAUUGAACAAAAUGAGAUUCGUUCUUCUGCAAGUUGUCGUACCACUCUGCAUUUUGUUAGUGGCGGUUAAAGCAGACGACCAUGAAGGGGCCAUUUUGUCCGAGUAUUUAUGGUCAGAAACGAUCGAAGAACAAGAGGCGUCACUAAACUCAUCCCUAAUUAGGGGAAUGGCAUCAACCAAAUUGAAUCCUACUAGUUUUGGUACAGUAAUUUUCUUUAUGUUACAUAUAGGAUCUAUAAUCUUUAAUUAGUUUAUUUCAACCUGCUAACCUUCCCUUUCCAUAGCAAUGUAAUAAAUUUUUAAUAUUUGAAAACAGACAAUACUAAUUAUUUGAGCCGCGUCACGACAAAACCAACAUAA
Molecule: long non-coding RNA, 810 nt
Organism: Ruditapes philippinarum (Manila clam)
Lineage: Eukaryota; Metazoa; Mollusca; Bivalvia; Venerida; Veneridae
Exons: 2
Source: RefSeq, a predicted model, not a curated record